GGAGAGAUGGCCGAGUAGGUUGAAGGCGAUCGCCUGCUAAGCGAUUACACGGGCUUAAACCUGUGUCGCGGGUUCGAAUCCCGCUCUCUCCGCCA
This 95-nucleotide transfer RNA is filed under the name Bacillota bacterium. RNAcentral's name for it is "Firmicutes bacterium (hot springs metagenome) tRNA-Ser". It matches the Rfam family "tRNA". From Rfam's summary of the family: Transfer RNA (tRNA) molecules are approximately 80 nucleotides in length. Lineage: Bacteria; Bacillati; Bacillota. The record is from RNAcentral.